This 277-nucleotide long non-coding RNA is filed under the name Nicotiana benthamiana. RNAcentral's name for it is "long non-coding RNA (NBEN_LNC038849)". The record is from RNAcentral. Lineage: Eukaryota; Viridiplantae; Streptophyta; Magnoliopsida; Solanales; Solanaceae.
GAAUCGAGGAAAAGAUUGAUUUUGUAUUACAGUUCGCGAACCAUAACUUUGGGUAAGGAAUACUGUUAACUCGGGAGAAUUCUAUUAGGCAUUCUCGGGUUCCGUGGUUCUAGCACGGUCGCCCAACUGUUAUGAUUGGCCUAAUUAUCUGAUUUUAAAAUAUUUUGAACCUAUACACAUUUUUACUUUAACCGCUUUUAUUCGUCUUAAAGAAGAUUUAACGUCGUCUAAACAUGUCUUUGGAUCGCGCCACAUGAAAUACACCCAUAAUCCGAAA